This is a long non-coding RNA of Eriocheir sinensis (Chinese mitten crab), 860 nucleotides long. RefSeq lists it as uncharacterized. NCBI's taxonomy places the organism in Eukaryota, Metazoa, Arthropoda, Malacostraca, Decapoda, Varunidae. The record is from RefSeq and is a predicted model, not a curated record. The transcript is spliced from 4 exons.
GAUAGGGUAAGGGUUGGUAAUGGGACUGGUGGAUAGGGGAAGGAUUGGUAAUGGGACUGGUGGAUAGGGGAAGGGUUGGUAAUGGGACUGGUGGAUAGGGGAAGGGUUGGUAAUGGGACUGGUGGAUAGGGGAAGGGUUGGUAAUGGGACUGGUGGAUAGGGGAAGGAUUGGUAAUGGGACUGGUGGAUAGGGGAAGGAUUGGUAAUGGGACUGGUGGAUAGGGGAAGGAUUGGUAAUGGGACUGGUGGAUAAGGGAAGGAUUGGUAAUGGGACUGGUGGAUAGGGGAAGGAUUGGUAAUGGGACUGGUGGAUAAGGGAAGGGUUGGUAAUGGGACAGGUGGAUAGGGGAAGUAUUGGUAAUGGGACUGGUGGAUAGGGGAAGGGUUGGUAAUGGGACUGGUGGAUAGGGGAAGGAUUGGUAAUGGGACUGGUGGAUAGGGGAAGGAUUGGUAAUGGGACUGGUGGAUAGGGGAAGGGUUGGUAAUGGGACUGGUGGAUAGGGGAAGGAUUGGUAAUGGGACUGGUGGAUAGGGGAAGGGUUGGUAAUGGGACUGGUGGAUAGGGGAAGGGUUGGUAAUGGGACUGGUGGAUAGGGGAAGGGUUGGUAAUGGGACUGGUGGAUAGGGGAAGGGUUGGUAAUGGGACUGGUGGAUAGGGGAAGGGUUGGUAAUGGGACUGGUGGAUAGGGGAAGGAUUGGUAAUGGGACUGGUGGAUAGGGGAAGGGUUGGUAAUGGGACUGGUGGAUAGGGGAAGGAUUGGUAAUGGGACUGGUGGAUAGGGGAAGGAUUGGUAAUGGGACUGGUGGAUAGGGUAAGGGUUGGUAAUGGGACUGGUGGAUAGGGGAAGGGUUGGUAAUGG